Molecule: ribosomal RNA, 429 nt
Filed under: Chloroflexota bacterium
Lineage: Bacteria; Bacillati; Chloroflexota
Description: Chloroflexi bacterium partial 16S ribosomal RNA
Rfam family: Bacterial small subunit ribosomal RNA
Source: RNAcentral
UGGGGAAUAUUGCACAAUGGGCGCAAGCCUGAUGCAGCCAUGUCGCGUGUAUGAAGAAGGCCUUCGGGUUGUAAAGUACUUUCAGCGGGGAGGAAGGGAGUAAAGUUAAUACCUUUGCUCAUUGACGUUACCCGCAGAAGAAGCACCGGCUAACUCCGUGCCAGCAGCCGCGGUAAUACGGAGGGUGCAAGCGUUAAUCGGAAUUACUGGGCGUAAAGCGCACGCAGGCGGUUUGUUAAGUCAGAUGUGAAAUCCUCGGGCUCAACCUGGGAACUGCAUCUGAUACUGGCAAGCUUGAGUCUCGUAGAGGGGGGUAGAAUUCCAGGUGUAGCGGUGAAAUGCGUAGAGAUCUGGAGGAAUACCGGUGGCGAAGGCGGCCCCCUGGACGAAGACUGACGCUCAGGUGCGAAAGCGUGGGGAGCAAACAGG